AGACUCGUGACACAAUGGUAGCGCUUCUGACUCCAGAUCAGAAGGUUGCAUGUUCGACUCACGUCGGGUUCA
RNAcentral lists this transfer RNA (72 nucleotides) under Theobroma cacao (cacao). It matches the Rfam family "tRNA". From Rfam's summary of the family: Transfer RNA (tRNA) molecules are approximately 80 nucleotides in length. Their secondary structure includes four short double-helical elements and three loops (D, anti-codon, and T loops). Lineage: Eukaryota; Viridiplantae; Streptophyta; Magnoliopsida; Malvales; Malvaceae. The record is from Rfam by way of RNAcentral.